This is a small nuclear RNA of Prosopis cineraria, 102 nucleotides long. NCBI's taxonomy places the organism in Eukaryota, Viridiplantae, Streptophyta, Magnoliopsida, Fabales, Fabaceae. The record is from RefSeq and is a predicted model, not a curated record.
GUUCUUUUGGGAACAUAUAACAGAAUUGAAACAAUACAGAAAAGAUUCGCAUGGUUUCUGUGCAAGAAUGACAUGCACAAAUGGAAAUUAAAAAGUAUACUU